CCUACGGGAGGCAGCAGUGGGGAAUAUUGCACAAUGGGGGAAACCCUGAUGCAGCGACGCCGCGUGAGUGAGGAAGUAUUUCGGUACGUAAAGCUCUAUCAGCAGGGAAGAAAAUGACGGUACCUGACUAAGAAGCCCCGGCUAACUACGUGCCAGCAGCCGCGGUAAUACGUAGGGGGCAAGCGUUAUCCGGAUUUACUGGGUGUAAAGGGAGCGUAGACGGCAGCGCAAGUCUGGAGUGAAAUCCCAUGGCUUAACCAUGGAACUGCUUUGGAAACUGUGCAGCUAGAGUGCAGGAGAGGUAAGCGGAAUUCCUAGUGUAGCGGUGAAAUGCGUAGAUAUUAGGAGGAACACCAGUGGCGAAGGCGGCUUACUGGACUGUAACUGACGUUGAGGCUCGAAAGCGUGGGGAGCAAACAGGAUUAGAUACCCUAGUAGUC
This 440-nucleotide ribosomal RNA is filed under the name uncultured bacterium. RNAcentral describes it as "partial 16S ribosomal RNA". It matches the Rfam family "Bacterial small subunit ribosomal RNA", at positions 338 to 795 of the family's 1533-position model. The record is from RNAcentral.